RNAcentral lists this ribosomal RNA (277 nucleotides) under uncultured Synergistaceae bacterium. RNAcentral's name for it is "partial 16S ribosomal RNA". It matches the Rfam family "Bacterial small subunit ribosomal RNA", at positions 1107 to 1382 of the family's 1533-position model. Lineage: Bacteria; Thermotogati; Synergistota; Synergistia; Synergistales; Synergistaceae. The record is from RNAcentral.
GCUGCCAGUUGCAACGGGUGAAGCCGGGCACUCUGGCGGGACUGCCAUCGACAAGAUGGAGGAAGGUGGGGAGUGACGUCAAGUCAUCAUGGCCCUUAUGUCCAGGGCGACACACGUGCUACAAUGGCCGGCACAGCGGGAAGCGAGGCAGUGAUGCCAAGCGGAUCCCUUAAAGCCGGUCUCAGUUCGGAUUGAAGUCUGCAACUCGACUUCAUGAAGCUGGAAUCGCUAGUAAUCGCAGAUCAGCCAAGCUGCGGUGAAUACGUUCCCGGGCCUU